Molecule: transfer RNA, 85 nt
Filed under: archaeon
Lineage: Archaea
Description: tRNA-Ser
Rfam family: tRNA
About the family: Transfer RNA (tRNA) molecules are approximately 80 nucleotides in length. Their secondary structure includes four short double-helical elements and three loops (D, anti-codon, and T loops).
Source: RNAcentral
GCCGGGAUCGCCUAAUCUGGUAUGGCACUGGUCUGCUAAACCAGCGGAGCUUUGCUCCUUGUGGGUUCAAAUCCCACUCCCGGCG